AUCCGCUACAUAAUUGUACGUAGUUUACCAGCGGACGCUAAUGGUUACGUCGAGGCAUCCGACAACUUGACCAAUUACUAGUAAUCGUGGAAAUAUUCGCUUUCUGAAGCCUCGUCGACGAAGAGGCACUAGAUUCCCUGCAAACUCGAAAAUUUUCAUGCUACUUUACUUACGGAGCGAAUUAUCGUGGACUUGUCCAUUUCGUACUUUGGUUUGUGUAGAUCUGUGCCGAGUGGAUUAUGGAAGCGUUUAUUUUAGGGAGGAGUGAAAAUCAGCUGUGUUCAACGGUGUUUCUUUUCUUAAGGAAGUUCAAGAUCGCGUAAAUGAAAAUAAUUUAUCGUCUCGAUCGGGAUAUGAAAUACAGCUCCUGCGGAUAUUUGAUUGCAAUUGCUCUUAGUAACCGUAAAAAUGGUGAGCAAAUUGCGACUGGAAUUCAGAAAGUAUUACAGAUAUCGAAAAAAACUGAGAUGUAUUCUUAAAGAGACUCAAAGGACACUGGACGCUAUUGCUGCUGAAAAUUUCUUCCCUGAUGAGAACAUAAAAGAGGUCUUGCUCACCCCUUUUAUCCUGUCCAGGAUUUCUCACAUUCUCGAAGAUCCACCAGCUAUUGUAAUUCUGGGUCAAGAUUCUCGCGCAAAAGCAACAUUGGUGAACACCCUUUUAUCCAGUGCAAUACUGCCGAUAUGCUCGGGUUCUUGGAGAUGGAUAAGAAUCAGCUAUGGAGAAAGAAAUCAUGUCAGUUUGACUUUAAACUUAGAAUACGAGGUGGUUGAAAGGCUGCAAUCUAAUGAAAAAAUUUGGCACACGCUCUCGGUUGAAGAUCUGACCAGAUCUGAAAACGAAGAUUUGAACUGUCCUACUGUACUGGAGGUGAAAGUAGACAAGGCACUGUUAAAAGAUGAUGUACAGAUAUUUGUUACCCCUAAUCAUGGAGCCACAAAGGUGCUUUCUAAUGGGAUAUUGAAAGUUUUACCAGUAUUCUUUUAUGCACUCGGUGACGAACCGUUGUCUGAAGAAAAUUUGGAAGAAUUAAGAGACUUGAAAGAAACGUAUCCGGACUGUCCAGUCCUCUUCGUAUCAUCUACUAAGAACGUUUUAAUCGAUAGUACAGACACAGAGUUAACAGAGUCUGAACAACAUCGUCUACAAGAGCCAACGUAUCAAAAUGGUACAAGUUCAAUUGAAAAUGAUGUCGAAGAUAUCGACAUAGAAAAAAUGAACUUACUUGGGGUAACGUGGCUGAACCAAAUAGCGAGUCUCGGUUUUCUCCGGAUGGAAGAAUCCGUUGAAGUAGAUCAACUGUCCUGGCUGGACGGCAAAGACUAUGGAGGAUCGAGUCACUUCAUCAAUUCUCGCCAGAAAAUUGACCAGGUGUUGGAGUUCACCGAGGGUUGUCUUCAAAACUACCUUGUGACCGUGAGCAAUCUUUUGAAUGAUGUUCACACCACCAGUCUAAGAAAAUUCAUUCUAAGUGCAUUCGACAUGGCGAGAGAACUACAGAUAACACCACGUCGAAUACAAUACGCCCGUCGAAAGGAGAAUGAGCUUUACAACAGUCUUAUGAAACUUGUCAGUGAAAAACAGGAGGAGGUGACCAACCUCAUACAAAAUGUUAUUGACGACAUGAAGACUGAUCUUAAUGAGAAAGAAAGUAAAUACCAUGAGGAGAGUACUACCAGUUUUGAUAGAGGUGACAGGAAUGAGUGGUGCGAUACAGUCAGGGCAGCGACGUUGAAGGUCCAGAGGCUGCUGCUCAGCACUCUGAGCGAAGAAGUAGCCAAGCAGUUAGUAACUUCAUUGGAUUGUAUGCGGGAAACCUUCGUUGGAACUCUGCACAGAUGUUUGUUGAGCUUAGAAAAAAGUUACGACCAAGAUACCAGUCUACUGGCUAGUGACGCUUUAAAGCAGAUACUUUCCGCUGCUUACAACGUAGAGCUGACAGAUAAUUCAACUUCAUUAGUUCAAUCGUUUUUGGAGAGGCUCAGACAGCUGAUGAGGACGCUUCCUCUUCCAUGGUCUUCCAGCCCGGUCCUCGAUGCCUCCUGGAGAAGAAGGGUUGCCAUUGAUAUAUUGAAUUCCUUGAACUCAGCAAGGUUGUCGAGAGCCAUAGCGACUCAAUUCAGGGACAAGGUGAAAUCAUCCCAUGACUCAUUUCAGUCUGCCUUACAAUCCCUGGAAAAUCACUAUUCUGGUAAAUUAGAAAGAACCGAAGAGCAUAGAGUAGCGAUCAGAAGACUUCAUGCCCCGAGACUUGCUAGACUUGCCCUUGAAUCUACUUCUAUGAGCGAUGUGGUGAAGUACGGCAUACCCAGACAGGGGAAAGAGAUCGGAAGAGGUCAAUAUGGUGUUGUAUUCUCCUGCGACAAAUGGGGUGGUGCGCCAGGACCAUGUGCAGUGAAAUCAGUUGUACCACCAGAUGACAAGCACUGGAAUGACCUAGCGAUGGAAUUUUAUUCAACAAGAUCUAUUCCAGAUCACAAACGAAUAGUCAAGCUGCGUGGUUCUGUUGUCGACGAUUCCUAUGGUGGAGGAUGUGGAUUAUCAGCUGCUGUCUUACUCGUAACCGAUCGCCUGAGCAGAGAUCUAUACUGUGGAAUCCGAGCAGGCCUAACUUGGCUCGAAAGAAUUCAGAUAGCCAUAGACGUCGUCGAAGGGAUAAGGUACCUCCAUUCUCAGGGAUUAGUUCAUCGUGAUAUCAAGUUGAAGAACGUGCUGUUGGAUACGGAGAACAGAGCUAAGCUUACGGAUCUUGGAUUCUGUAUACCAGAGGCCAUGAUGUCAGGGAGCAUUGUUGGUACUCCGGUCCACAUGGCCCCAGAACUCUUAUCUGGUCAUUACGACAGCAGCGUUGAUGUUUACGCUUUCGGAGUUCUUUUCUGGUAUAUAUGCGCUGGAAACGUACGUCUUCCUUUUGCCUUUGAGCAAUUCCAUAACAAAAAGCAGCUAUGGACUAAUGUCAGAAAAGGUUUGAGACCUGAACGCUUGGAUCAUUUCGACGCCGAAUGUUGGACGCUGAUGGAGCAGUGUUGGGCUGGAGAGCCGUCUAGAAGACCUUUAUUAGGGGCGAUACUUCCUGUACUAGAAUCGAUUCGACACAGAGCCGAACAAGGCAAGUCUGAAAAAGAACUCGACUUCUUUAAGUCCAGAGAGGGCCGUUCUUCUUCUUCGUUGACAAAAAGUCCGGCACUAUCACUGACAGAGCCUUUUAAUCAAAGAGGAGUUACUGCUGAAACACGUGCCUUAAAAAAGAGACCUCGCAGAUUUGUGAAACACCCAGUACUCCACAUGACUAACUUUUUUCAUGCUAGCACUUGCCCUAACUUGUACAUCCAGAUGCGAGAAUUUUAAGACUAGAUUGUAUGUAAUACUAUAGAUCUAUGUACAUAGCUUUUCUUUGUUGUUCUGUUGUGUUCCUUUUUUUACAACCAUUAUUUUUUGCUUUGAGAUUUCGAGGCUCUCUCAUAUAAUUUAGAAACAAUCAUCAACUAAUUCUUUGGACAUCAGCGAAUUUGACAAUAUUUUUUUGCUUCAAUUUUACUAAAAGGUUGCAUUUUUGCUGAAACAAAAACUCAGUACAUCACUCAGUACUUGAACUCAGUUUCAAAACUUGACCACUAAAAUACUGUCAAUCAUUGCUACAAAUGCUUCGAAAAGCAUAUAAUAUAAUCCUCGUAGAACACAUUUGUAGUUUAUUCAUUUUCAUAUUCUAAUUGUUCUAUUAUUCCUAUGUGUUAGUACAAAUUAUUAUUUUAUACAUAAUUUUACAGUAGAUGGAGAAAGAAAAGAUUCUCAAAUCAAUUACCGACGUACGCGUCAUUUGCAGCCAAAUUCAUCCAUCGUUCGUUUUCGAUUAGAUGAUGAUCACUCUUCUCUAUCAGAAACAGAACCGUGAUGCGAUAACCAAAUGGAAUAUAUCGGUACCAAGUUGAACCAGAUCGUUAUUAUCAAGAGAAGAAGUGCAAGCGAACAGGAGUAUAAAAUAAAUUAAAAAAGAAAAACAAACAAAAAAACUGUGAUCUAAAUUGCCAGAAUUAUUAGAAUAUCUAAUCAGUCGUAAGAAAAACCGAUCAAAAAAUUAUGAUAAUCGAGAAAGAAAUAUAAAAAGAAACGCGAACCGGUGAGGAGAAGAAUUGGGUGUCAAAUAUUUUUAAAAGACUGAUCAAAAUUGUAUCGAACUUCAUCUGCAUUCAUUUUAAAAAUCCCAAUGUAUAUCUUCAAUUUUACAAGCUUAGAAGAACCAGAGAAGAAAAAAAAAAGAAAGAGUUAAAGUUCAACAGUUAUUUCAGCUCAUUGAAAAAUCUUUUGAUCAAUAUCAUUGUAGUCAUAUCUGCAUAAUUUAUAGUAAUUAUUUGAAUUCGAUCGACUGUAAUUUUUAUACUAUAGAUAUACCCAUAAGGUAAAAAUAUAUGUAAAUUAGAUAUAGAUAUAUGUAAAGAUUUUUAUGUAAAUUCAGUAUAUACGUGUUAAUCUGCAUAUGCCGAAAUAAAUGCAUUCUCAAUUCUUUAA
RNA transcript from Athalia rosae (coleseed sawfly), 4506 nucleotides. It is a transcript of the gene named dual serine/threonine and tyrosine protein kinase-like, with no coding region annotated. NCBI's taxonomy places the organism in Eukaryota, Metazoa, Arthropoda, Insecta, Hymenoptera, Athaliidae. The record is from RefSeq and is a predicted model, not a curated record. The transcript is spliced from 5 exons.